RNAcentral lists this ribosomal RNA (779 nucleotides) under uncultured Neocallimastigales. Its description in RNAcentral is "partial large subunit ribosomal RNA". It matches the Rfam family "Eukaryotic large subunit ribosomal RNA", at positions 22 to 647 of the family's 3401-position model. The record is from RNAcentral. Lineage: Eukaryota; Fungi; Neocallimastigomycota; Neocallimastigomycetes; Neocallimastigales.
UAGAUGCGAGAGUAGAGCAUAUCAAUAAGCGGAGGAAAAGAAACUAACAAGGAUUCCCCUAGUAACGGCGAGUGAAGCGGGAAGAGCUCAAAUUUGAAAUCUUAAAGGGUUUCCCUUUACGAAUUGUAGUUUAAAGAAGUGUUUUCUGUUGGAGUUUCGGUAAAAGUUCUUUGGAAUAGGACAUCAUAGAGGGUGAGAAUCCCGUAUUUGACCGUUACUUUCCAGCUGUGUGAUACACUUUCAAAGAGUCGGAUUGUUUGGGAAUGCAGUCCAAGAUGGGUGGUAAAUUUCAUCUAAAGCUAAAUACUGGCGAGAGACCGAUAGCGAACAAGUACCGUGAGGGAAAGAUGAAGAGAACCUUGAAAAGAGAGUUAAACAGUACGUGAAAUUGUCAAAAGGGAAGCGUUUGACACCAGUGUUGUUUUUCCGAAAAUCAAUUACGAAUGUUUUAUUUUUGAGGAGUUAUGACUUCAUCGGCUUGCUCCUUUCUUUAUGAAACUUUCUUAAUGCACUUUUCGGUUAACAAGUCAACAUCAAUUUCUUUUGUUGUAAAAGGGUAUGAGGAAGGUGGCCUUCUUUUCGGAGAAAGUGUUUAUAGCCUUGUGCCUCUGCAAUCGGAGAGAUUGAGGUCUGCAGCGUAGAUCCUUCGGGGUUAGAUACGUUUGUGCUAAGUUAUAGCUUUUCAUAGACAACUUGUUGACUAUGAUUUAAGUCAUUGUAGCUUACUCGCUUAUGGCUAUUUUACCUACGCUUAGGAUGUUGACGAGACUGUCGAUCUC